AGGACGAACGCUGGCGGCGUGCUUAACACAUGCAAGUCGAGCGGAAAGGCCCUUCGGGGUACUCGAGCGGCGAACGGGUGAGUAACACGUGAGCAACCUGCCCUUAGCUUCGGGAUAGCUCCGGGAAACCGGAAUUAAUACCGGAUAUGACUAUGGCCGACAUCAGCCAUGGUGGAAAGUUUUUCGGCUAGGGAUGGACUCGCGGCCUAUCAGCUAGUUGGUGAGGUAACGGCUCACCAAGGCGACGACGGGUAGCCGGCCUGAGAGGGCGACCGGCCACACUGGGACUGAGACACGGCCCAGACUCCUACGGGAGGCAGCAGUGGGGAAUAUUGCGCAAUGGGCGAAAGCCUGACGCAGCGACGCCGCGUGGGGGAUGAAUGCCUUCGGGUUGUAAACCCCUUUCAGCAGGGACGAAGCGAAGUGACGGUACCUGCAGAAGAGCGCCGGCUAACUACGCGCCAGCAGCCGC
This 472-nucleotide ribosomal RNA is filed under the name uncultured bacterium. RNAcentral's name for it is "SSU rRNA". It matches the Rfam family "Bacterial small subunit ribosomal RNA", at positions 26 to 518 of the family's 1533-position model. The record is from RNAcentral.